CCUACGGGGGGCAGCAGUAGGGAAUCUUCGGCAAUGGACGAAAGUCUGACCGAGCAACGCCGCGUGAGUGAAGAAGGUUUUCGGAUCGUAAAACUCUGUUGUUAGAGAAGAACAAGGAUGAGAGUAACUGUUCAUCCCUUGACGGUAUCUAACCAGAAAGCCACGGCUAACUACGUGCCAGCAGCCGCGGUAAUACGUAGGUGGCAAGCGUUGUCCGGAUUUAUUGGGCGUAAAGCGAGCGCAGGCGGUUUCUUAAGUCUGAUGUGAAAGCCCCCGGCUCAACCGGGGAGGGUCAUUGGAAACUGGGAGACUUGAGUGCAGAAGAGGAGAGUGGAAUUCCAUGUGUAGCGGUGAAAUGCGUAGAUAUAUGGAGGAACACCAGUGGCGAAGGCGGCUCUCUGGUCUGUAACUGACGCUGAGGCUCGAAAGCGUGGGGAGCAAACAGGAUUAGAUACCCCGGUAGUC
RNAcentral lists this ribosomal RNA (465 nucleotides) under Acinetobacter baumannii. RNAcentral describes it as "bacterial SSU rRNA". It matches the Rfam family "Bacterial small subunit ribosomal RNA", at positions 338 to 795 of the family's 1533-position model. The record is from RNAcentral. Lineage: Bacteria; Pseudomonadati; Pseudomonadota; Gammaproteobacteria; Moraxellales; Moraxellaceae.